AAGCCUUGGUUCUUCUUCAUUUACACGAAAAAAUCUUUCGCCUUUUACUAAAGAUUUCCGUGGAGGAGAACAAGACAAUGGGCUUAAAGGUAUUUUUUUGUCGCCGGAUUUUCCAGGCG
Molecule: small nuclear RNA, 119 nt
Filed under: Dendronephthya gigantea
Lineage: Eukaryota; Metazoa; Cnidaria; Anthozoa; Malacalcyonacea; Nephtheidae
Description: U5 spliceosomal RNA
Rfam family: U5 spliceosomal RNA
About the family: U5 RNA is a component of both types of known spliceosome. The precise function of this molecule is unknown, though it is known that the 5' loop is required for splice site selection and p220 binding, and that both the 3' stem-loop and the Sm site are important for Sm protein binding and cap methylation.
Source: RNAcentral